Molecule: ribosomal RNA, 253 nt
Filed under: uncultured bacterium
Lineage: Bacteria
Description: partial 16S ribosomal RNA
Rfam family: Bacterial small subunit ribosomal RNA
Source: RNAcentral
UACGUAGGUGGCAAGCGUUAUCCGGAUUUAUUGGGCGUAAAGGGAACGCAGGCGGUCUUUUAAGUCUGAUGUGAAAGCUUUCGGCUUAACCGGAGUAGUGCGUUGGAAACUGGGAGACUUGAGUGCAGAAGAGGAGAGUGGAACUCCAUGUGUAGCGGUGAAAUGCGUAGAUAUAUGGAAGAACACCAGUGGCGAAAGCGGCUCUCUGGUCUGUAACUGACGCUGAGGUUCGAAAGCGUGGGUAGCAAACAGG